This 226-nucleotide ribosomal RNA is filed under the name uncultured bacterium. Its description in RNAcentral is "partial 16S ribosomal RNA". It matches the Rfam family "Bacterial small subunit ribosomal RNA", at positions 538 to 763 of the family's 1533-position model. The record is from RNAcentral.
GCGUUGUCCGGAAUCAUUGGGCGUAAAGAGCGCGCAGGCGGCUUGGCAAGUCGGGUGUGAAAUCCCGGGGCUCAACCCCGGGACUGCAUCCGAUACUGUCAGGCUAGAGGUAGGUAGGGGAGAUCGGAAUUCCUGGUGUAGCGGUGAAAUGCGCAGAUAUCAGGAGGAACACCGGUGGCGAAGGCGGAUCUCUGGGCCUUACCUGACGCUCAGGCGCGAAAGCUAG